RNAcentral lists this long non-coding RNA (240 nucleotides) under Fragaria vesca (wild strawberry). RNAcentral describes it as "long non-coding RNA (FVES_LNC002313)". The record is from RNAcentral. Lineage: Eukaryota; Viridiplantae; Streptophyta; Magnoliopsida; Rosales; Rosaceae.
CGAACUUCUACCACAUCUUUGGUCUGAUAAUACAGAAGUUCACCAUGAAAUUGAUGCAUUAGGAAACUGAGGACAUUGCCAAUCAAAUACGCUCAACCCCUGAGGACAUUGACAAUCAAAUAUGCUCAACCCCAGCUUCAUUUACAGCCCGUGGUUUCCUACAGGCAUGCCAUCCUUCUUUAUCUUUGAGCCCCUCAACAAGCUACUAUGUUAUCAACCUUCAAGUGCACCAAGUGCCUU